This 8066-nucleotide long non-coding RNA is filed under the name Harpegnathos saltator (Jerdon's jumping ant). Its description in RNAcentral is "uncharacterized LOC112589548". Lineage: Eukaryota; Metazoa; Arthropoda; Insecta; Hymenoptera; Formicidae. The record is from RNAcentral.
AUUACAAACAACUUGUUUUAUUAGUGAUUAGACGGAAGUUCACAAUGAAAUAAAAUUUAUAAGCUUUUAUAAUGUGUACGUAUACAUGUGUGGUUAACAAUCGCGCUCAGAACAAUGAUUCUCGAUUAUUCAGAACAAUAUUCUGAUAGAGGAAGGUCUAUUGACGGAAAGGCACGAGGUGAGGGGGAAGAUUGCGAUGAGGAUACUUCUGAAGGAGAGGGAGAACGAAUAGGUAUGAGGCCACGGAGUAAGGCCGCGUGCCCCCUCAUAGAGGUGAGGUUAGAGGAGAAGAUAUCGGGGAUGGGCUCCAAGGUAGAGGAAAGCUUGUGGCAGAACGGUCAUCUACUGGACUCAAGGAUGUUGGAGAGUACGAGAUAGGAGGAGUUACUGGGGGAAAGUCAGGAAGGAACAUGAGAGGAGAAUGCGCCGAUCUUAAAAUGUUUGAUUCGAUAUGACAGAUAACGUAAUCUGGACCUUGUAAUACAAAUACUAAAGAAGCGAUCUCAAAAUCCUCGCGGUUUGCACAAUUUUCCGUGGUGGUUAUUUCUGACUGUGAUUGAGAAGAUUGAGCUACUGAAAUCGGAUUUCACAAUUAAGGAGGGAUGCCAAGGGGGAUAGGGAAAAGAAAGAAAAAGGGAGGAAAAGAAAAGAGAGAGAAGAAAAGAUAAAAAAAUAAAAAGAAAGGGGUCACUCUGGCAAAAUAAAAUAUAAAUAACUUACUGCUGGUUCUAUGAUCUUAGUCGACAAUGAAAAGUGUAAUUGCUGCGUGUCUGUGAGGACCCAAGUUUUGCGCUAAGAACAGGAAGUUGGUUUCGGCAGGAUCGCUCGCAAUGCCCCAAGAACGCAUGAGAUCGUUGCACAAAAUAAUUAACAACUGAAGAACUCUGAUCUACCUAAGUCACUAGUAAGUUUGGUUAUUAAGAGACCCUGAAGGGCUGUUGAAGAGAGGACUCUGUCCUGGCUGCGGGUCGGUCGAAAGGAGAAGUAGAAGUGGCAUAGCCUUUUCAUUUUACUAAAAACGUCACCUCGGUCGAGAGGGUGAGGUUUUAGAAGUUCCAAAGUUUAUGUCCAAAUAUGGGUAUAGGAUUUUGUUACAAAACUUUUCGGAAGUGGGGUUUUAGGGAAGCCUGAGAUAAAUAUGGUAAAAGAUCGGGUAUCUAUGGCAGUAAAAGACUUCAAGGUUCCGCUAGGGUGAGUGAGAGAUUAUGCGCAAUAAAAAUUUAUGAAUAACGUGGAAACGCAUGGGUUUCCGAAGAUCAAAGGUUAGUAAUAUCAUAUAACAGCAUAAAAGAUUGUCUGGUCGGUCCGUCUUCAAAGAAAAUUGUUGCUCCGGACAGGAAGUUAUUCAAGGUUAUUUGGAGAGGAGAUACAUGACUAAAAUAACUCGGCGGAUCUUUCUGACGGAAAUAGGGAAAUAGGGAAUCCGGUGAUUAAAGCAAAGAGAAAAAAAAGAAAUCCGUGUGUGUGAUGUCACUGUUUUCGAAGGGUCGCGGAACAUGAACAUUUGGUCGUAUAAUAUAAAAUACAAUCCGCCCUAUUUGAUAACGGAUUUAGGAUAUGGGAAGUCCGCAGGACGUAACAACGGCGAGUUACAAAAUAAGAAAUUACUUAGGCGGAAAAAUCUCCACAGUACUGCUACAUAAGAUGAUAUAAUAACAUAAUCGAUGUAAAGUAUAAGGCGACAUAACGGAGCCGCUUCGCAAACAUAAUUGAGGAAACGCUUUAUGCGGCAUAACGGGUUGCGACGAAAUAGGUUUUGUUCGCGCAGCGCCGUGGUAGUGCGAAGGGAAGCUGAUUUGGCUACCACGUCAAUGAAAAUGACUCGCAUGUUCGGAGGUGGACCCAGGCUGCCCGCCAUGGCAAUAUACAGCUUUCCUUUGGCUCUGCAUUGGUCGAAGUUGGCUCACAUGAUGUUAGGAAUAAUCGAUUAAUAAAUCUGAGGCCUGUGUUGAGGUGUGCGAGGCAUGUGUCCCGGCGGAUCGCUGCUCUCAGAGUGGUCGCUUCCUCGUAAUCGACUGGCAAUGCGCACAACUGGACGAUGGGCCGCUUAUAUUCCGCGCGAGCCAUCUUGACGGUGACGACGCACGUAAGGCCGUUGGCCCGAGGGAAGCACUGGAUCGUUCCAACUCCCACUUGCACGGGGGUCGAGUCGGAGUGCGGAGGAGGACGAGCUGUCCGAGUUUUAUAGCUGGCUCGAGGUUUCGCCAUUUCGCGCGCUGUUGUAGCGUGUUGACAUAAUCGGUCUGCCAAACUUUCCAAAAUCGCUCGGUCAUCUGGCGGACGAGCUGCCAACGAGUAAGUCGAUGCUCGUUUACGUCGAGUAAACUCGGCUCCGGGGCGGUUGUCAGCGCGGACCCGCUUAAAAAAUGACCCGGAGUCAAGAGUUCGUAUCAAUCAUCGAGAGUAUCGGAUAUCGGCGCAAGAGGAUGCGAAUUGAGACACGCCUCGAUUUUGCAGAGCAGCGUGGUAAGCUCUUCAAAAGUAAGGGUAUGAGUUCCGAGAGUGCGAUGUAGAUGAUGUUUGACACUGCGGACGCCGGCAAAGUGUGGAGCGGCCGGCGGAAUAAAGUGCCAUGCAAUACGGUCGGUCGCGAUGACAUUGAGGGUCGCGAAUAACUGCUUUAUAUGCGGCCGCGAGUUCUUUAUCGGCGCCGACGAAUGUCGUCCCAUUGCCUGAAUGGAGGGCCUGCGGAAGCCUACGACGCGAGCGAAAGCGACUAAACGCGAUCAGAGCGGGAAUUGAGUAAUCGGGAACCAACUCCAAAUGAAUCGCCUGGGUGGCGAAGCAAACAAACAACGCGAGAUACGCCUUCCGCGAGGUGAUCCCACGACCGGCGGAAGCGCGCACCUGCAUGGGGCCUAGUCGACUCCGCAGUGCAAGAAACAUCUUGUUGGAGUGGAAACUCGCACGGCGGGAAGAUCGCUCAUUCGUUGAGACGGAAUCGCUGUCCAUUCGCGUGUACAUGCGACGCAUCGAUAAAUGACCGCUUUAACGAUACUUCGGGCGCGGACGAUCCAAAAGUCGCGGUGCAACGUACUCAAGGUGAGCUACGGUCCUGCAUGCAGGGCUCUCAGGUGAGCGUGCUCUACGAUGCGGUCGACCACUGAGUGCGAGCUAAGCAGAAUCAGAGCUAAGCAGAAAGCGGAUUUGAUAAGGAACCGGCGCGUUCUUAAUUCGCCCGCCGACACGAAGCUGUCGCGGUCCAAGAAUAGACAGAGAGAAAGAAUAGGACCUUUCGGCGACAGAUUACUUUUGAAUAUAAGGGCGCAAAUUUCCUUUGAAAAUAGUUCGAGCUGCAUUUGUUUGAUCCAAAACAGACGAGCGCGAUCACACUCAGCCGCUGUGAGAGCGCGGCCGGACGCGUCAUUCUUCGGAGCGUCGUUCAAAUCGCAACGACAUCGAGAGAAGAAUCUAAAAAGAUAGGCGGUUACGCUUCGGCCACGACGAGAAACGUAAAGCAAUGUCGAACGGAUGUUGCGCGCGGUGCAGUACAAUGACACGCUGCAAUUUUCUCUUCGAGAGGAGCGCUUGAUGGAAGACUUGACUCAUUGGGAGGCCAAUCUUUCGAGGGAUCGCACAGCCACCGCGGCCCCCGCCACCACAAUGAGUGAUCGCGAAUUUCGUCCCCAAGGAGGCCUCGCGAUGCACAAUCGGCGGGGUUAUCAUUUGUAAGUACGUAUCGCCAUGAGACAUUGGGCACCUGUGUUUGUACAAAGGCCACGCGGUUGGCGACGAACGUCUUCCACCGGGACGGGUGCUGUCUGAGCCAAGCGAGUACAAUCUGCGAGUCCGUCCAGCAAACGCACGGAACAUCGGGAAACCCGGACGAUCUGCGAACGAAAGCGAGCAAUCGAGCGAGAAGCACCGCGGAUGACAAUUCGAGCCGAGGGAUACUGAGCGGAGUCAGAGACGAAACUCGCGAUUUCCCGGCGAGCAAGUUGUGUCCGCGAGCGGAUCGGCUCUCGUCUGGAAGGACCGAUGUUGGAGUUAUCGACGCUCAUAUUGUCACGCCUCACGUCCUGCCUUGCAGUCUCGGGCACUCCGUGGCCAUACAUCAGUGGCCUUAAACUCGCGGACUCAGGAUACGCGGGCUGGGAUCUGGUGGACCUACUACUUGACAUCAAGGUUUUUGUCCGCAUCGUCAACGACAUCCUGAGGAGGGGUGAUUCGGACGAACCCAUCGCACAGAGGACAUCGCUGGGAUGAAUUCUGUCUGGGAGCGUCGGAACAUCGAAGUAAAGGCGAGUAACGAACUCGCUUCACUGCUCGAUCGACGAGGAUUUGUCGGUGAUCGUCUGCCGGGGAGCAGGAGGAGGCUCCUCGUGGUUCACUGCCAAUAUCAUCUGAGGAGCAGCGAUGUCAGAAGUACUUCGCUGCCAUAUAUUCUUGACGAGAGGAUGGGAGAUAUACCGUGCGUGUGUGGAGACUGACCGACGACGAAGAACCCAGAUCCCCUCUAGGAGCGGCCACCUUGCGGGACGAAGUCGAUGACAUUCUCACCGGGGCUUCUACGAUGCGCGUAGUCUUGAAGAUGCGCUGUCAGCUGGAAGCGGUAUGCACGGCAAGCGGGUUACCGCCACGAAAAUGGACAAUUAACCACGAACAGCUGAUUGCGUCUCCACACACAUUGGUCAGCGAUGCGGAUGCUCCAGACGAUGGAGGGACGUUUCCGGAAGGAUCCGACAUUCCAUCAACUCUACGACGAUUUCUUGUCAGAAUAUGAGGUCUCGGUCACAUGUCGGCUGAUGUUUUCCGGUCGGAGUCGGGAUGCUUCCUGCUACAUCAUGGCGUGCUCAAGCAGUCCGGCACGUCCAUCAAGUUGCGAAUCGUUUUCAACGGCUCUCAGAAAAUAUGUGAAGAACAUUUGUUCAACGAUUGAUUCUUGGUGGGACUAAGCUUGGCGGGUCUCUUAAUGCACUUAAUGUGACGUUAUCGCUAUGUCUUCGUGGCCGACAUGGAGAAAAUGUACUGGCAGAUCUUGGUACACGAGGAGGACUGCGAUCUUCAGAGGAUUCUGUAGCGUAAGGAGGGAAAAAUUCAGGCAUACCGCCUGAACACCGUCACCUGUGGCCUAGCUUACGCGCCAUUAUUGGCCAUCCAGACGCUGUGGAGACUGACCGACGACGAAGAACCCAGAUCCCCUCUAGGAGCGGCCACCUUGCGGGACGAAGUCGAUGACAUUCUCAUCGGGGCUUCUACGAUGCGCGUAGUCUUGAAGAUGCGCUGUCAGCUGGAAGCGGUAUGCACGGCAAGCGGGUUACCGCCACGAAAAUGGACAACUAAUCACGAACAGCUGAUUGCGGACUUUCCGGCGGACGAUGAGCGAUAUACAGUGUUCGGGCCUCGCGAGUUGCAGAGAGUCACUCCACUUUGAACUUGGAGUGGAGGCCGAGCGACGAUCCCUUCUCCUUCGUAAUUCGACCAUUCGAGUAAGGCGUUAUCACGAAGCGUAUCAUCUUAUUGCAGACUUCUCGACUCUUUGAUCCGCCAGGAUGUAUAUUCCGUCAUUGUGAGGGCUAAGUGCAUCCAGACGACGUGGCUUCCUCUCCUACGCGAACUUCACAUCCCACAAUGGAUGGGUGCCGAGCUAUCGACUUGCAUAGCGUAGCUCCAUAGCUUCGCUGACGCCUCAGAGCUCAUAUACGCUGCGGUGCUCUAUCUGAGGAUGAUAGUGGAGAACAACGUGGAGAACUUGCUAGAAGAGAUGCUCUUGGCACAAGUCGAAGCAUGCUUAAAUUCAUGACCACUGCAAGCGCUGAUCCGGACGACUUCGCUGCGUUCACUCCCGUCCAUUUCUUGGUCGACGAGCCGUUAUGCGCUUUGUCAGAGCCUUCGCUGGAGCAGGUACCGACGGGAAAGUUAGACCAGUAACAAUUGGUACAGCAGAUGCGAGAUCACCUUUGGCAACGUUGAUCGCAGGAGUGUGUCACCAGCUUGAUCCCUAGCAGCAAGUGGCACACCGAGGCGCAGAAACUCAAGGUCGGCCGCUACAAAUGGCCGCUCGCUCGAAUCAUCAAGUUGCACUCUGGAUAUGGAGGACAAACUCGGGUGAUAAUGGUACGCACGGCGGUAUCCCAUUUCUCGAAAUCGGUCGUGAAAAUUGUGCCGCUUCCCGCGACCUGUUCAGUAUUGGAAUGAAAAAAUUCGGUUCUUCUCAUUCAUUUGCGAACGAUCGGAAUAAUUAGCGAGAUAUCGUGCAGUCGAGCUUUAUUCAUUGCAUUUUCUCUUUUGCGUAUCACUUUUCUUUCUUUUACUUUUCUCGGCGGUUUUAUCUUUUUUUUUUACUUUAUCGUUUGCGUUAGCUUUUGCGUCGCGUCAUUUGCCGCAUUAUUCACACUUGCAUUUGACUUGGUUUUUUCUUAUAGCGUUUCCGCUUAUAGCGUUCGUCUACCAUGUACUUAUAAGGAAGUUUUUGCAAUACACUCAGAUAUGUGUUACGUCCUAGAGGAGGAGCGCAACUUUUCCGUUCACGGUAAAAGCGAACCUCGUUCGUACAUGCGUGUCAGGGAACGGGUCAGGAACCCGACGGGUCCCUUUACUCGCUCGCUGACAUACGACGAGCGGUCCGUUUUUCGGUCAGGGAUGCGAAUCCCUUUACCGGGAAUAGGACCAUGAGUCGACUGUUGGAAGGUGGGGCGAUUUUGAAAUUAAUUAAUGGAAAAUUAGAUAUUUAACAAAUUUAUUAAAAUAAGGAUAACAAACAGAAUGGUACAACAGCGCGAUUUAGAAGGUGGCGAUUUACAGUGAUUGUAUGCGUAUGUAUGUCUGUAUGUGUGAGAAGAAAGAAAAGAAGAGAGAACAAGGAAAGAGAAGGAAUACGAAUAGAGUUAGUCGGGUGAAGGGGAACGAGAGCGAUCAGGUGAAUUUAGAGGAAUGAAGUUAGUUCAGAGAAAGAAACAGGGGAAUAGGAUAUCGAAGGGAUAUCGAAGGGGUAGAAGGAGUGGACGCGCGUGUAGGAGAAGAGGAAGGAGUACCCGGGGGAAAAUGAGAGAGAAGGUAAGGGGGUAGGAGCGUAGGAUCUGGGUGGUAAUCGGUUCCUAGCGCUAUGUUAACUAUCGCUCGGAGAUAGUGGACUCGAAAUGCUAGUUGGUCGGGAUCUCUGAUGUCAAAAAUCGACUCGAGCGUUUGGAAAAUGCUGUCGAUGGUUAUCCCAGUAUUGUAACAAUAACCCACUAAAACCGGAUUCCAAUAAUAAAGGGAAUUAAUAAAAUGGUGAAAGGAAGGGUGAUAAUAAAGAAAGUAAAACUUAUUGCUGGUUCCAAUGCAGAGAGAGGAAGAGCGAGAGCAACCCAAAGAAAAUGCUGCUGAUCUGCGUGGGUGUGCAACGCUGGCUCUGUCGCUCUCGGAUUUCCAAUUCGGUAACGGUUAGGUUAGAUUACACGCAACUACGUUUUUCUUUUAGGCAGCAGAUAAUAAUUAAACUGUGAAAGACGUACAAGACCAACUCCACGUCUGAAUGCCUGAGUGUCAAGCGACAAAAGAAAAGAUAUCUGGAUGUCGAACUUGUGGUUCUAAUUCGGGUGCUGGUCAGGCGAAUAAUGUGUUAGCUUUUUCAUUUUACUCAAAACGUCACCUCGGUUGAGAGGAUGGGAUUGUGGAAAUUGCGUCAGGGAUCUAAGGUCCAUGUCUAUCUAUUAGAACUUUGUUGUUAACAUUUUCGGAGGUAGGAUUUUGGAGUUGUAUUGUAACAUCUCUAAGAUAAUUGUCACGACGGGACGUGGAAAAGUUGUGAGUUCGUGAGGAUUAACGAAAUCAAAUAUCGACUGGUCAGUCCGGAAAGUGACUCAGUGGGUUUUUCCUGACAAACAACUAGAGGACUUUGGUCUAGGGGGAGAUAAAAAAAGGAAAUCGGUAUGUGAUGUCAUCGUGCUCGAAAAGUUGCGGAACAUGCUCGUUGAAUAUAACAUUUAAAGUGUAGUAAGCAACAUAAAAUCAUUACGCUCUAUUUAUAAAAGGAUCUAGAAUACGCGGAGUCCGCAGGAUGUAACAUAUGGUAAACGUUAAAUCGUGAACAUUAUUCGCUCAAAAAUAACGUCGACAUGUACGCGACCAAUAGCAAUCACAAU